GGUUAUGGCUCAGUGGUAGAGCACUCGCCUUGCAUGCGCGAGGCCCUGGGUUUGAUCCUCAGCACCA
RNAcentral lists this transfer RNA (67 nucleotides) under Marmota monax (woodchuck). RNAcentral's name for it is "tRNA.Ala". It matches the Rfam family "tRNA". Rfam says of the family: Transfer RNA (tRNA) molecules are approximately 80 nucleotides in length. Their secondary structure includes four short double-helical elements and three loops (D, anti-codon, and T loops). Further hydrogen bonds mediate the characteristic L-shaped molecular structure. tRNAs have two regions of fundamental functional importance: the anti-codon, which is responsible for specific mRNA codon recognition, and the 3' end, to which the tRNAs corresponding amino acid is attached (by aminoacyl-tRNA synthetases). tRNAs cope with the degeneracy of the genetic code in two manners: having more than one tRNA (with a specific anti-codon) for a particular amino acid; and 'wobble' base-pairing, i.e. permitting non-standard base-pairing at the 3rd anti-codon position. The record is from RNAcentral. Lineage: Eukaryota; Metazoa; Chordata; Mammalia; Rodentia; Sciuridae.